CACCUCCUCGGCGCCACCACUCCCAUCAUUUUUUCUGCGCCGCCGCCCAUCUCCCCACCUCCCACAUCUUCUGCUCCCUCCCCCACCCGACGUCCUCCCAUCUCCGCCCGAUGAUGCGAGAUCCUCCGACCAUCCCCAUCUUCUGCUACCUCUCUUCGCCCUUCUCUUCGGAUCGAUAGAGAGAUCAGGGGAUCGCGACAAGUGUUUUGAUGGUGAAGAUCCAGCGCCGCCGGGGAGAAGGAGAUCGACACCCAUGCCGCUCCUGGCUCGUCCCUACCACGCGUCGAUGUCGAGUGUCCGCCGCGGUCCGUCGGUGCCGCUGCCAUCGUCCGCGUUCUGGCCAGAUCCCGCGUCCACUAUCACCACAUCUGCAAGCGGAGCGACAUAAUCGCGGAGGCUGGAUGAGACCCAACGUCAACCCGCAUCUCCCUGCCCGGUCGCGUGAAGGAUCGACCACCAACAGAUCAUCCACGACCACGCCGACGCAAGAUCCGCCUUGUCCCAACUACAAAGCCGCCCCGUCGGAUCUGUGAGCAAGGGGACCGUCGUCUUCUACGUGUUGUGCUAGCUGCCAAGCUUUGCACCUAGACCAUCACGGUGUUCUUCACCUGGUGUUGUGCCUCAGGUCCCUCCUUGUGCAGAUCCUCUCUGGAUAGGUCUCCCUCUCUAACCUCCGAUGUCCUCCUACUUCUAUCCCGCCAUAUGUGUUCUCUGCUAUGUGAUCUCACUUUGCAAUUUAUCUGCUUGUAUAGAUUGUGCUGGCCUCUUCCUGUUUUUAAGAUCUAUGUUUGUUAGGUAGUUCUGUUGUACUCGUUAUAACUGAUACUUCUCUGUUUCCCAUUCAAUAAUGAUUUGUGUUUGAUCUGGUGAGAUAUUAGGCUCAAUUGUAGUUGUUUCUACUAGUUUAAAUACUAUUUUGGUCUGUAGUUAUGAUCCAGAAGGGUAGUGAUCCAAAUGUUAAAAACAUUGUAGUAUGAAACAUAAGAUGGAAGAUAUUACUGAAGGACCCAGGUUGUCGGGUUGAAUAUGUGUGAGGUCUACCUUACAAAACAUGGUAGCAUGCCAAACUGAGAAGAACUUAUAAUAUUGUACAAUUUAAGAGCAGCUUUGUAUCUGUAUACUUGUGAUUUCAGAAGUACCAAGCUGCUACUCAUAGUGGUAUAUGGUUGUUGCUAAACCGUGACAAGCUUAAUUGAAUACCUUGUACUUUCGUUUCUUAAGUAUACUAAAGAUUGUACUACACACCUUUUAGAAUUAGUAAAUGCAGUCCUGAACCAUGUGUUCUUAUUCUUAUUCUCCUUUUGUUUAAUGCAUAACUGUGACCUGGUAGCAUCACUGCAUUAUCUGUGUCUUGUUUGGGCAGGAUCUAGAGGAGUCUGAAGAGGCAGCCCAGGGCAGCUCGUCAAGAAGCUGCACAAAGAUGGUGAUUUUGGAAUCAACUGCUAACUCCCUUUAUUUCCUCACCAUUGUUUUGUCUGCUGACUAUGUGUUACCACUACUGCACGUAUGUUAAUUGAGGCAAGUAACAAGUAGUGUAUAUGUGUUGCUAUUAGUAAUGAGUCACGUGUUUGUAUUUUGUAGUUUUGUCGAUCUAGAAUAUAUGAAAAAGGUUGCUGUAGUUCUGUCUUUUAGGUGGUGUUAUGCAAAUGAUCUUUUCUCACGUAAUAUGUAUGGAUUUACAUUAAAUGGUUCAACUAUUUUUGGAAUGUGUACAUAUUGUUGGGCAUCUCAUAAACUCAUCUGUCCAUCAAAUUUAUAACUAGCAACUAGAACUGUAAUAGCGAAAUAACAUGUUACCGAUCUGCUGGUAUGUCUGUGGAGAAAAGGAUAUUAUUGUCUUGUUAUUCUUAUUUUGGUGAAGCCAUCUCUUGUUAUAUGAUGAUAAUAGUUCUUAAAAUGCAAGUGUCAAGAAGUAAAAUCUGAUAUUUUGGUACUGUAGUCUAGUUUGCUCUGUAAUGUGUUACCUACAAAGAAUAUACUAUUAUUUCAAUGAUGCAAUACUAGGAGAACUUUGAUGAUAUCUUUCUGCCAUGUUUCCUUGUCUCACAUUUCUCAAAGACUUUAUUAUUUCAGGAGCAGUACAAGGACAACAGGAAGUGCUACUACUGGUGGCACCACACAGCCAGGAGAAACAGUCAGGAAGAUCAUGAAGCAAGGAAAGAAAAGGUGGACUCUACGUAGUCAUAUCUGUGUUCUAUGCUUCAGAGCAGAUAUUUUGCCCAAAUUCAAGACAAUAAGUGUUGUUCCUCUAUUUUACAAGAGCUCCAAGCCAAAGUUCAAAGAAGCUCAAGUAUAUUUUUGUAAAGCCAGUUAUAUUGUGAUAGCGAGGUUAUCUGGCUGGGAUGUGAACGUGAAUUCAUGUGUCUGUUUCUGAUUCUAAGAGUGCCAUACACUGUUUUUGUUGUUAUUAAAUAAUUUCACAUUUUCCUCUCUUUUCUAA
This is a long non-coding RNA of Lolium rigidum, 2440 nucleotides long. RefSeq lists it as uncharacterized. Lineage: Eukaryota; Viridiplantae; Streptophyta; Magnoliopsida; Poales; Poaceae. The transcript has 3 exons. The record is from RefSeq and is a predicted model, not a curated record.